CAUGUAGGCGGUUACAUAAGUCUGAUGUGAAAUACUACAGCUUAACUGUGGGAACGCAUUGGAAACUGUGUGACUUGAAUCUGUGAGGGGUAACUGGAAUUCCUAGUGUAGGGGUGAAAUCUGUUGAUAUUAGGAAGAACACCGAUGGCGAAGGCAAGUUACUGGCACAUGAUUGACGCUGAGAUGCGAAAGCGUAGGGAGCGAACAGGAUUAGAUACCCUGGUAGUCC
This 229-nucleotide ribosomal RNA is filed under the name uncultured bacterium. RNAcentral describes it as "partial 16S ribosomal RNA". It matches the Rfam family "Bacterial small subunit ribosomal RNA", at positions 568 to 796 of the family's 1533-position model. The record is from RNAcentral.